Equus caballus (horse) is the source of this 8548-nucleotide non-coding RNA. The record is from RefSeq and is a predicted model, not a curated record. Lineage: Eukaryota; Metazoa; Chordata; Mammalia; Perissodactyla; Equidae.
CCCCCCCCUCCCCGCUGAGUUUCUGAUUACAGAGGUGGAGGAAGGCUUGGGAAUUUGCAUUUCCAGCAAGUUCUCAGGUGAUGCUGAUCCUGCUGGAUCGGGGACCACACUUUGAGAACUGCUGAUAUGAGGCCCAGGGCUAGGAGCUCUAAAGGAGAAAUAGGAGAAUUAAGAGGCAGAAACAAGUGGAUUCACAAGUUAAACAAGUUAACCUCCCUAUUAAAAGGGGAGUUAGAGGAGUUAGCCUCUCCAUCGAAAAUGCGCAGAGCCUAUCAGAUAAGGUCUUUGCUGUCACCGAGCUGACAAGCUCAAAGUCCUGUGGGAGGCAGACUGCAAACAGUAGUUUAGGAUGUUAGCCGUUAACACAGGGAACUGUGAGCACAGAAGAGGAACACAGUGUUCAGGCUUGGUGGCGAAGAGGCCAGGAAGGCUUCCGGCAGAGUUGACUCCUAAAGAAGGGAAGGUAUCCAGACAAAGGGGCAGGGCCAGGCUUGGCCUCUUCCAGCAGAGGGACCUGUGUGGAAUUAAAGAGGGGCUGUGGAGAUGUCCUGGAAGAGCAAGUCAUCCAACUUUCCCAAAGGGAAGAGUGGCAAGUGAGGUGGCGAUGACAGAGCUGCAGGGGUAGGCAGGGGCUUGAUCAAGAAGGAACGCCAGAGCAGGUUUAAGGAGUUUGAGGAUAUUCUGAAGACUAUUAUUGACAUAGAGUAGAAAGAAUGAUUUACUAAGGCUCCAUAUAAUGGCACAUCAGAGAUGAAAAGAGAACAGAGAACACAGCUAUCUCCAAUCCUUGUACUUCCUUCUCUGUAACUGGGACUUCUCUACCCGAUUUCCUCUGGUUUCCAGCUGAUGUCAGGGCCUUCCAGACCUUCUAGCCUAGGUGUAGACAAAAUUCUCUUUCCUUUUAAUUUAGUUGAGAGAUUUUGGAAUUUCAUAAAGGGAAAUUUGUAAAGACACUGGGCAAAUACAAAACCAAAGGGAACAAAGAGAAUAAGUUGGGUCUAGAAGUAAACAGACUAGGCUUCUAGCUCCAUCUUUUGCUAUCUAUACAGACUUGAGUAUGUUAUUUAACUUCUUGUACCAUAGUUUCUAUAUUUAAAUAGAGACCUAAUUCCUGACAAGAUCCACAAGAUCUUACAUGUUGUCAUCCCUACCUGCCUUUCAACCUCAUCUUAUAUCCACUGAUCCUCACUCUUCCUGCUCCAAUUAUGUAAACCUUUCAAUCUUGUGUCUAUCAUGCUCCUUUCUACUACAGGGCCUUUGUAUGUGCUGAUUCCUCCAUCUGGAAGUCCUCUUCUUCAGUAAUUACUACAUUUAGAUCUAAGGCCCACUCCCUCUAGGAAAUCUCUGAUCUCUGAAUGGGUAAAAUCCCUCCUUUUAUAGGCUUUUUUAGUAUCAGGAACUUUUAGUUGAAAGCACUUCAUAGUUGUUAUUUGUGUAAUUAUUUGCUUAAUGUUUGUCUCUUCUACUGGAUCAGGGGUCAGCAAACUAUAGCCAACUUUGGCCUGCAGUCUGUUUUUGUAAAUAAAGUUUUAUGGGAACACAGCCAUGCCCACUUAUUUCCACACUAUCAGUGUCCACUUUGGUACUACAGUGGCAGAGUUGAGUAGUUGCAGCAGAGACUUUAUGGCUCACAAAACCUAAAAUAUUCCCUGUCUGUCCCUUUACGGAAAAGCCUUGCCAACUCCUGUCCCAGACUACGGUCUCCAUGAGAGUGGGGACAGGGUCUGGUCAAGCUUGCUCGCCUCUCUUCAGCAUCUGGCACAGCGUCUGCUACGGAGAAGAUACACAAUGAAUAUUUGUUUUUGUUUUUUCUCAAUAAAUACAAGGAGAUUAUUUAAAUAUGUAUUUUACCAGACUGUUAAAAGGGUUAAAUAAGAUAAUAUACAUGAAGAACUCAGCAAUAUAAAGCCAGGAACAUAGCAGAUGAUUAAUAAGUAUUAGCAGUUUUUAUUAUUUCAGUUGUUCCUUAAUGCAUUUUGGUCUUCUCUCUGGGUCUAGACCUAAGCCGUUCCCUGGCCCUGGGCUGAGUCGCGUUCCUGUCCUGCCAUCCCUUGUCCUCUGGCCUUGACCUCCUGAGAAAGGCAUUUAUUUGCAUUUUGGGCUCCAAGAUUCCUUCCUUGGACUCAGAUUCUUGCAAUGACUUCUUGACCCCUCGUAGAGAUUUCCUUCUAGGAUGUUCAGUCCAUUUGAAGCGUAUUAUUCUCGCCCCUUGUUGUAGCCUUAGGGUGACACUCCUUUAACCUGUCCCUGGGGCUUAGCUUCACCAGGGUCAUCGAAAUGAUGGCAGUUCCAUCUUAUUUUGUGGCCACCUCCUCUGGGGACAGCAGGUAACUUCUUUCUUGUGGUUCCACAGGAGAAGCUGUAGGAUUGGAGGAGAGCUCCUCAUGAGAGAGCGGUGAGCAGAGGCUCAGGGAACUCAACCUGUGUGGCUUUAAAAGGGAGAGGAAGGAGGGAUCAAAGCCCAGCCCGAGGCUGGGCAGCCUGGAGGAGGGAGACUUGAGUAAAACCAGGGGUCAGCCAACUGUGACCGCUGGGCCAAAUCCAGCCUGCCUCCCAUUUUUCUGUGCCUCUCACAUUAAGAAUGGCUUUCACCUUUUUAAAUGGUUGGGGGGGGAAAAAUCAAAAGAGGGGCGCCGGCCCCAUGGCAUAGCGGUUGAGUUCGCACACUCCGUUUCGGCCACCCCUGGCUGGCCGGUUUGGAUCCUGGCGCGGACCUACGCACUGCUUGUCAAGCCAUGCUGUGGCAGGUGUCCCACAUACAAAGUCGAGGAAGAUGGGCACGGGUGUUAGCUCAGGGCCAAUCUUCCUCAAAAAAAGAAAAUCAUAAGAGGAAUAAUUUGUGACAUGUAAACAUUAUAUGAAAUUGGAAUUUGUGUUCAGAAAUAGACAGCAGCAGUUAAGUAGUUAGCAUCAGAGACAGUGCGGCCCAUAAAGGUGAAAAUACUUGCUGUCUAGCCCGUUAGAGGAAGUUUGCCAACCCCCGAGUUACACUACGAGCCUGAGCUGUGGCCGUGCCUUUGCCCUGAGCCCAUCAGAGCAUCUUCUGUGAUCAGUGUCGCAGGACCUCUACAAACCCCACCAGGUCGCAUCUCAGGGCACAGCCCAAGGUGCGCCGAGAGAGACAGGGUUAAUUAAAGGAAUCAUUUCUCAAGGAGGUGGAAAGGGAUGAGGUAAGAGAACCUCACAGUCUGGUUCAAAUGGUGGUCUCACCGCUUAGAGCAGUGGGACCUCGAGCUAGCCUCUUCACUUCUCUCAGCCACCGUUCCCGUAUUUUAAAAUCUGAAUACCUAUACUCUGAGAUAAAUCGUGGUGUUGUAAGGACUGAAUCAGCUAAUGCAUGCAACAAUGCCUGGCUGAGAGUAGGCACUCAAUAAAUAUUCACCACUAUGACUACGAUUGGAUGGAAUACACCAGCAGAAGAGUUGGCUGUAGAGAGGAGAAAGCCAUUUCACUAAGUGUAGCAUGUGGAAUCGAAUAAACAAACAAUAGACCCUGGAGACAGACAGACUGGGGUUCAGUUCUGUCUCUGCUAGUGAUCCCUGUAUGCAUCACUGCUGUGUGAUCUUAGUAAAGUUGAUUAACUUCUCUGAGCCUCAGUGUCACCCUCCCUUCCCUUAUGUAACUUAUAUGUCAACUGGGGACUUCCUACUCUUUGAUUUAGGAAACGUUUCCUUAUGGUACCACCUGUCGCCAUCUCACGUGAAACAUAUGGGGCUUCUGUUUUACUCUACGCCGACAAACCCAUUCAGAAAAUUCUCUUUCAGCAAGCAUUUCACGAGUUUACUCAGUUUAUUGGAGAAUUGAAGAGUUACAGUUUUGAGAGUGGGGGCAUACUGUGCCCUCCAAACCUCCUCUCUCCUGUUGCCUCUGCCUCUCUUCUUCCCGCGUGAGGGGCCCAGGACUCCCUCGCUUUCUCCACACACUUCCCCAUAUCCCUCUUUACAGCCCAGAGAGGCUGAGCCACACGUUUUCCCACCAGUGGUUCUGUCCCCAAGAGGAAUUCGCCUACCAGCUGCUAAAAGAAUAAAUUUCCUCUAUCCCCUGACAAGCAAAAUAGGGAUAACUGUGCCACCUCACAAGGUGUUUGUGGAAAUUAAGUGAGGUAAUGCAUCUGCCAGCUCCUGGCGUGUGGAAGACGGUCAAUAAAUGUUACUUCCGUCCCGUCUCGAUUCUUCCUUUGAGAUUUGAAGGAGCAAAGAGUGAAGCUGAGAGAGAUUCUGAGGUGGGGACAAGGGUAGAUAAAGCAGCCAGGAAGGUCAUCUCCUUGACCAUUGCCCUCCAGGAAAGUAGAAGAGAUUCUGUGCCAAGAGAAACUGGAAGAGGUGGAGGGGCCCAGGGCGGAAGCCAGACAAGUCUGGUUUAUCUUGGAGUCCAUCCAAAAGGGUUUAGUUACUGAAACAGCAGUUCCUCUGCAUAAAUCAUUCAGGUUCUUGAAAAAUAUUAUUAAAUCACUCCAGCGUCAUAAAUAAUCCUAAUUUUAUUAAUCUUACCUUUCAGGCCAAGGCGGAGCUCCCGCAAGGCUCCCUCUCCGGAGCGCCUCGCCGAGAGGGGAAGGUCCCCAGGUGGAGGGCAGUCCCUCAGCUGGGGCCUGAUGGUAUUAGGUGGCCUGCAGUUUAAACUGGCAUUCCCUGAGGUUUCCCAAAGCCUUUCAGAUUUAGACUCUUUUUAGUAAUCUUUCCUUGGGCGUAGGACUCAGAGCGGGAGGUUUAUUAGCAUGGUUCUGCGUGCGGAGGCAUGGGAAUUCGGGAAUUCCAUUGCUUGACUACUUGCGCUUGUCUGAUGUCCUGUUUGCAUUUGUACUCUUUUUCGUCUUUUUUUUUUAACCACAGAAUUCUUUUUUUUUAACUUUUUCCAAAAGGGCUGAUAGAUGGCUCUCUUCCAUUUUGCUGUGGGCCAAGGAUGUUUCUCCCCAAUGUUGUGAAAACAAAUGCCUGUGAUUAGUCAAUGCCAAAUUGCAGGCUAAUACCUCAGAGGCCCUUGCUGUCCUCCCCAACUGCCCCCACCGUAUUGCUCCCUCUUUUUUUCUAACGGAGGGAUUUCUCAUAGUUUUUCUUUCCAAAGUGAAGAUAAAUUGAAGAGUGGCAGCACCUGUUUCUGUUAUGUGGCAUUGAUUCGGGCUAAAAAAUCUAGUUUAGGAAACAUAGAUUUAGUUCCUGUUAUGUUAGUCCUCUAUGUGUCUUCUGAAAGAUUCUUCAUUAAAUGUUUUGGUUUUAUGACUUAAUGUUUUCCCCAAAUAUAAAAAUAAUUUGCAACACCGAAAAAUAUGAAGAAAUGUAAACAAAAACCAUGCAUAACAUCCUUCUAUCCUCAAGAACUCCACUGUUAAUGUCUUGGUGCAUUUUCCUGGAGUUUUGUUUUCUCUACAAAUGUGUGUAUGUAGUUACAAACGUGAUCCUGUGGAACACACAGUUUGAAGCCUGCUUUUCUACUUAGGUUUCUUUCAUGAGUGUUUCCUAGUCAAUAAAAAGGCUUCAUAAGCACCCGUCUUAGUGGCUGCAUAAUACUUGUAGUAUUGCAGUGCCCUAACCAGCUCAAUCAUUCUUAGGUUGUUCCGCAGCUGUGUGCAGUUUUUCACCAUCUAAAUGAUGCUGCCAUGAGCUUCUUUGCACCUUGUUCUUGCAUAUCUGAAAAUUCCCAUAGAAAGUAUUCCUAGAAGUAGGAUUACUGGCAAAAUAGAUUCCUGGAAGCUCACUUUAGUCUUUACUGACUUUAGUAAGCCGAGUGUGUUUCAUCUUGGAUCUGAUAAGUGUUUAGUAACUAAAAUAGCAAAAUGACUGGCUAAUUUUUGCCUGUACGGUGGUUUCGUGGUAUGGAGCUGGAGGACAAUAUAAUAUAAUGAUGUUGCAUUGUAAUUAUGAUUUGGUGAUAUGCCAAGGUGAUAAUAAUAAUAAUAAAAGCUAACAUUAUUGGGUGGUUAAUAUGUGCGAGGCCCUGUUUUAAGUGUUUUACAGCUAUGAACUGAUUUAAUCUCACUGCAACUCCAGGAGGUGGCUGUAUUAUUUUCCCCAUUUUACAGAUGGGAGAAUUGAGGGCCCAGAGGGGUGAAACUACAAGGUAAGUGAGUGAACCAGGAUUUAAACCCAAGCAUUUUGACCAGGAGCCCAUGCCCUAACCACUGAACGAGCCUGCCUGGAAAUAACCAAGUGGGUAAGAUUCCUCACCCCUGCACACUGAGACUGCCUGGCGGGUCUGCCUGCGCUGGAAGGCCGCCGGUGACUCCUCAGCUGGCUGCUGAGUUACGGCUCUCCUUUCCCCCUGGCCUUCUUCCUCCCUUCACUGGCUCUGUGCUGCCUGGCUGAGGGCAGGAGAGAAACCAAACUCCUGCAAAGUACCCAAUUCUGUAUCUGAAAGGAAAGAGGAAUAUAUAUCAGGGUGGCCUCAGGAAGCUGCUUAUUGGGAAAGAGAAGGGGGGAAAAAUUGAAACAAAACAGCUUUAGGGAUUUAAGUGUUUUGUUAUGUUUUUAUUUUUGCUUUUUGUUAGAGUGUUAGGCUUGCCUCAUUAGCAGUAAUAUUUCCCUUCCAUUUUCCCCCAAUUCCAUUUCCAUGGAUUCUCAGCUCAUCUGAUGGCGCAGGAGUUCCUGGAGACACGGAGACCGUGGAUUCUGAAGGAGGAGCACACGAACUCUGUGACUGCAGAGAGAAGGAAGAGGUGCUGAAAGACAGAAAUGAGGGCCAUGAAGACAGAGACUGAAGAAGAAGACAGAAGAUGAGAGGGAUGACACUGGAGCAAAGUAGCGAUUGGCUGCUGCGGGUUUUCUGAUUUAGUUCCUGUUCAACCCAUCGUGAGACCUAGCUGUGCCUCUUCUUCUGGCGCUCCGUUAGAUACUCUCCAAUCUUUAUACUGUAACCUUCUCCACUAUUUUGAUAAUGCUAACCUGAAGGGCUUCUGUUAUGUCCUGCUGCAGCUACAAUGGCUAUGUAACAAAUCACCCCAAAAUUUAGUGGUUUAAAAACAACACUUAUUUUGUUUACAAAUCUGCAGUCUGAGCAGGACUUGCUGUCAGCUUGUUUCUGCUCCAACUUGGUUUCAUGGGUGGCAAUUUGAAGAGCAGGGGCUAAAACUGAAUUCUUAUGUAUGCCGAGUACUUGGGCUGGAAGACUCAAGGAGAGGGGCCUGGAAGAGUUGGGCGGCAUGGAAGUCUCUCUGUUUCUCUGUGGUGUCUUCAUCAUGGUGGCUUCAAGGCAGAAGGGUUUUCACUGGGAGGCUCAAGGCUCCAUAGGCACAGGUCCCAAGGAGAAAGGGCCAGGUGGAAGCCAUAUCAUCUUUUAUGACCUAGCCUCAGAAAUCAUGCAGUGUUAUUUCCACCUCAUCCUAUUUGUGGGGGCCAGGUUCAACGGGACCCUACAUAUCAAUGAAGGAAUGUCACCAUCACAUUGUCUGAAGAACAUGUGGCCAGAAUGUUUACUAGUGUGGACAUCUUUAGAAAAUAGAAUCAGUCACACUUGUAAGCAAAAGGGCCUUUGUUAACACAUGGAAUAACCCCUAAAACUCAAAAAGGUAUUAGAGUUCCCAGAAAAUUAUCAACAUUGUGAUGGAAAAUGGGUUGGUUGGUGGGUACAAUGAGAAUUCUUUCUUUUUUUCCCUACUCUGAAUUAAUGAACAUUAAAUUUAUUCAUAGGUGUUCUCACUGGGUUCUGCUCAGUAAGCAGCAUUUUAAACACGACUUGUCUCCUUGAUUGCUAUCUUAUAUUUUAUUUUAUCAUAUAAUUAGGCACAGAUCAAGUUCAGUUCCCUUGUUGUGUAUAGCAAAAAGUUUCUGGUCAUUUUAUUUUAUUUUUUUUAUUUUUCUUUCCUGACGAAGAUUCACCCUGAGCUAAUGUCUGUUGUCAGUCUUCCUCUAUUUCGUAUGUGGGUCACUGCCACAGCAUGGCUGCCAGUGAGUGGUGUCGGUCCGCACUCAGAAAUGGAACCCAGGCUGCCAAAGCAGAGCACGCCAAACUUAACCACUUGGCCAUGGGGCUGGCCUCUCUGGUCAUCUUAAUUUUAAAUGUCAUUCGUAAGCAUAUCCUUUCUUGCUUGGUGAAUGAGAUUUUCCUUCCAACUGGACCCUUCUCAUGCUUUUAAUAAAUAAUGAUGCAGGUUUCCAGGGUCUAAAAUACUCCUGAGCUGUAAAGUAGGCACUGCCGAAAGAUGUAUUAACUCCUUCAGGCCUCCAAGGUGCUAUUUAAAAUGUUAUUGCUUCAUAUCCCAUAAUAGAAGCUUGAACCUUAUUGAUGGCCUUUCUCUUGAUGGCAGGGGCUGGGGGACUGUGAAGGCCAGGAGAGGAAGAGUUGGUGAACUGGAACAGGAAGCUGAAUUAACUCUUUCAGCAAGGCUUAGAAGAGAGGAUUUUAGUCUUAUAAACUCUAAAGCCCAAAAGAUACUGGAGCUUUCAGAAUAAAUCAGUAGCUAAGGUAGUGUUAUUAGAUGUAAUAAUUGCUGGAAGGAUGAAAUCCUUGUCAGUGCUGCCUGAAAAUAGUACAUUCUAUACUUACUCUAUGGCAAUGCUUCCAAUACUGUACUGAAGUGAACUAUUAAAAUAUGCACAUUCUGAUUACAUACAGAAAA